GAACAUAUCUCAACCAAAUGUUUGUCCAACUUGGCAUCGUAGUAUUACCAUGAUUACCAUGAUUACAGGAGCAAGCUGUUGAUUAUACAUCAUUACGUAUAUAUAGAGACGUUAUCCGGUAAGGUUAACCUAUACAUUUAUAAAAAGGACAUUUUUGUGUUUUACUAGUCUAUUGAGGUUUAUGUUGAUGUCAUUUUUAUAUCAGGUUCUACUUCGUGCUAAGUUUAAUCAUUUUUGUAAAAUGUUAAUAUCAAACGUAUGUGCAUCUUGAACGACGAAAUGUUGAAUGCCAUAUAGGCGGAUCCAGGGGGGGGGAGGAGGUGGCUGGGACCCGGGCCCCCUUUCGUGGGAACAAUUUGGUUGAUUUUAUAGGGAAUCAUUGAAGCAUGACUGGAGCCCCCCCCCCCUUUAUAGGAAAAGUUUUGGAUCCGCCACUGAAUCAUGCUGUACAUAUCGGGGGGCGGUGGGCUUCCUAUCAUCUGGUAUAAGGGGCGGAAAGGAGUGCUUCCUAUUAUACGGUAUAUGGGGUUGUGCCAAAAAUAUAAUUUUGCGAUAUUUUAAAAUAAAAUGACCCCCUUUUUAAUGACAACCUACAUUAAAACAGGGGCAGAUCCAGCCAUUUUUAAAAGGGGGUUCCCAACCCAGGACAAAGGGGGUUCCAACUAUCUGCCCCCUUCAAAUGCAUUGAUCGUCCACAAAAAAAAGGGGGGUUCCAACCAAUGUUAAAAUGUAUUUACGUUUGAUAACUGUUCAUUUUGGUAGGAUCUACAUAUCAUAUAUAUUAAUAUGCUUUUGAGAAUCUUACUUUUUUAAUGGCCAAAUAUUAUAUCAAAUUAUGAUUAAUUCGUUUGAAAGCUUGAAAGUUCGCCUUAGAAAAAAGUUCCCAAAUGAAGCCUGGGAAUUAUGAGGGAUGAUUUAUAAUAUAUUUAAAUAGCGCUUAAGCAUGCCUGGUCAUAUUUUAAAAUAUUGCACAAGUCAAUCAUAUGUUUGGUAUGCAGUUGUAUAAGCAUUGGCAUUAAGGAGGUAUACGGAAAUGAAGGGAUGACCACAACGAAAAAUAAUGGAGAAAAAUGUGAAAAAAAUAAUAAGAAAAGAGAAUUAUUGGGUGCACAAGUAUAAAGAAUAAAUGUGCAAAAAUAUUGGGUAGUAAAAUACUGAUAAUUAACAGACUUUAACAGUGUACAAACUCUGUUCUCAGAACAUUGAUGUUACCCUGAACAUUAAAAUCACGUUUUCAAAAUAAAUUUUGGCAAUGGAGUCGCAAAUAUUGACGAAUGCCUUAUCCCACAAAAACUGGCAAACUAUUAUCAUUCAUCUAGGGACCCCUUGUGGUCAUACUUUUCAUGUAUAAAGUACAUUUCAUAAAAGUACAUUUUGAAAGAUUUGUAUAUAAAUAAAUGAAAUGUUAGGUAUUAAAACAUAUUUAACAGCAACCCAAAGAAAAAGUCAUCUAGUCUCAGAGGACAACAUACCAUUGUGUAGGUGUCUUUAGAAUAUGUUUAACUCCAAAUCGUACCUAUGCAGGCAUUAAUUACAGGUUGAAAAUAACUUUAUAAUUAAAAAUCACUUGACUUAUAUUGCAAAUGCAAAUACAUAUAAUUCACAAAAUAGCGGAUUACAUACGUCAAAAACUGGCACGAAUAAAAGUUGACAUGCACGUGUAAAUAAUACAUGGUUAAUCUUUUUCUUUCUUUUUCUUUUUUUUUUUUUUUAGAUCUCAACCCUUCUUCUCUUUAGAUUCAAUCACUAGGUAAUAUAUUCAUCAAAGAACAUUAUAUGCUAUUGCUAACUUUAUAAAAAAAUCCUAGUAGACAUUAAACUACCAUGAGAUUUUGUAUAGUGUAUCAAUUUCAUAUUUUUGAUCUUUUUUUCUCUCCAAUAAACAUGAAAACGCUUAACUAAAAAUUAUGUUUUAUGAGUGUUAAUGACAUCUUUACAUCAAAUUCAUUGAAUAUUGAAUGUUUACUGAUUGAUAUUUUAUUUUUAGAUACAUGAUUUUUAUUAAUUGUUACCAGUGGCGGAUCCAGAGGGGGGGCGUACAGGGUGUACGCCCCCCCUUUUUCUUGGACUUUUUUUUUUUUUUUUUUUUUGUAAAAGAUUAAUCAGACAAGACUUCGUGAACUUUGAUAUUUCCCGUGUACUUAGUUUUUAUGUGGCAGUUCUUUACUUUAAAGAUAUUUUUCGCUCGUAUUUACUGUUAUAUAUUAUUGGUUAUGUCAAAGUCCUGUGAUUCGCUACGGUGGAGAAAACCAGUGCGUCGAAAAACGUCACUAUGUCAAUUUGAAAAUCAAAUUACAGUAACAAAUUGCUUAUGCUGAGGGUGACAAGAAUGACACCUUCGAUGUGACAAGGAUUGAGCAAGAACGUACUGACUUCUAUUUCAUAAUUCCACCAAACAGAAAGUAAUACUCUAUUACAAUGUCAGGAACAAAAAAGUUCCACAGCAAUAUUAUUUACCUAAAAAAACAUGUUUAACCAAACACGGCCAAGCCUAUUAAUAACAUAGCUGAAUAAUGAUCCUCUGUAAGUAAGCUUAAGAUCUAAGUUACGGACCAUUUGAUUUGAGGGGGCAGUCUGAGAUGUAUAAGAGGAAAAGUUCUGACACUGCUUUCUGCCUUAAAUAAAAUUCUUGUCGUAUCAGGAUUGAAAACAAUAAUCUUGUCCACUUUUUUUGCCAUUUGAAACCAAAAUUUCCAACAGAUUUUUUUUAGAAUUAAAUGACCAUGAUGAUUAAUAAAAGGGAGUAAUUUUUUGGUUCCCGGGGUUUUGCAUGUAAAUCCAGUAUCUGACCUGAAUGUCUGUUUCGCCGAACUGAUUUAUUGAAUACUUUGACCAAGGCCCGACUGCAACCUGCCUGCUGGAUGUUGCCUUAAUGUAUCCAUUUUUCGACCGUCAUUCAUAAAUUCGUUGUCAUUUCAGACUUAUUCGUAGUAUUCUGUUACACCGUUCCGUAAUUUAUAUAGUUCGUUUGAUUAUAUUCUUAAUCUAAUUAUGUGUUCCAACCUAGGAGGAUUAUUCAUCUUUAACUUUAAAACAUCGUACAUCGCUACCUUUCCCUCUCUCAAACCGAACAUUGCAAGAGCAUACCAGUUCUGGAGAACUUUUCAAAAGGACAAACGUCAUCUAGGACACAAUUCGUGGCUAACCACAGAGUGAGUUUAACUUUACAACAUUGUUUUUGAAGCCUUCAAAUUACUCUAUACAUAUGAUUGAACAUUCUCUCCGUGAAACACCUGGAAAUUUAACUGCUCUUGAAAGUACAACAUUUUCUCGGAUUCAACGGACUGUGCUAUCUAUUACCUUUGACAUUUCGUUUUAAUAACAUUAAUUGAACACAUUGUAAAAUUGUAUUUUAUUUGUUUUUCAGCUUUUUACCAUUUGUUAGAUUGGUUCUUAAGAUUAAAGUAUCAGCACCUGAUAGUCUUUUCUGCUUGAGCCCAAUCGUCGGUUAUACUUAAUGGUCAGGCCAUUACAGUAAAAAGUCUACAACUUGCCUGUUGUGUCUCACAGAUAACGCCACUCCACAGCUACACAGCAACCUACCUGUUGAGCCCUGCAUGUACGCGUCAUCCCUUGACGUACAGUAAAUUGACGACAACCUGUCUUUACAUAUCCAGACAAGGAACGACAACGUAGCAACGUACAUACGUACAUACCUUUACACUGACAGUGGGACUACAUAUCUUGUGUGAACUCGACAGCAACCCAACAACGUUGAGUCAACAUGGAUCCCAGUCAUGUGGAACAACAAGAAGAGAUUCAGCCCCAAGAAGGAGGAUGUCCCUGAACUAUUAGAAAAUCCGUCUAAUACAUCACAGUCAGAUGAAAACUCCCGAGGCUAGGCGAGUACGUGACCUCACGGAAAAAGGACAAGGAGCUUUCACUGAAAAAACGUGACAAGUUCUGUCAGGAACUAGAGGUCCUCUGGGCAGACAUUGAAUCCCAGUUAUUGGAAGUAACAACGCCUCCUAACGAUCUCCAGCAACUCCUAACAGUCCAGGACAAACUUGUUAAAGCCUGUAAUAAUUAUCGGUAGGCUCACAGAUGAAUACCUAGACUUUCUGAAAAGGACCAGAACAUUGGAGAGUCAAAAAGAGAAAUAGAUGCAUGUAAACUCUCUUUGGAUUUACGUCUGUCCAAAGUGGAACUUGUUGCCAUGGAAAAACUACACGAGCAUCGCCUCGCCCUAACAAAGUCCAAAUCCACUAAAACAAAAGACCUCAAAAGGUAAGAAAACCUCACGCAGUGGUAGCUCUAACGUGUCAGACAUGUCAAGCCUAGCACGGAGAAAGCGUGCCAAGGCAGAGGCUGCCAAGUCUAAAAUAGCCUUUGUAGAAAAACAUGCCUUAUCCUACAACAGGAAGCAUGUUAGAGGAACAAGCCCUGUUCAGACAAAUUGAAAUGGAACAGGAAGCAGCACACACAAAAAGGCAAAAAUGGAAGCAAGAAGUCGCUAAACAGGAGGCCGCACAGAGAACAGUGCAAUUAGAACAAGAGGCUAUGCGUAGGAAGGCUCAAAUGCAACAAGAAGCCGUACGGGUAAGCCGUGAAAAAGGCCGAGCUUAAAGCCAAAUUUAACCUUCUUGAAGCACAGAGAGAAGCUGCAGCCGCAGAAGCCGAGGCUCGUAUCCUGGAAUACGAUGACAGCCAAGCGUUAUAGCGAUCUCCCUGACGAAAAGGAAGACCCGCUCCAGCGUGUGCAAGAUUUCGUCAAUAAACUUCCUGUAUCAACUGCUGUAAAGGAAGUAACAGGACCUCAAAAGAAAAAACAAAUUCCUGUUAAAAUUGAGCUGAGUCAUGAAGCACCAGCGUUCGUGCCAUCUGUGGCACUGAACUUGCCAGUCACAAACACCUAAGGUCUUGCCUUACACGUGCUAAGUCACCAGAAGUUAAUUGCAUUCCCAGAUCUGGGAUUAGUAACGCAUACAAAAACUAGGCUUUCAGAUGAACCUACUGGCGUUAAACAGGUAGUAAAGAAGCGAUCCCUGUCUUACGCACAAAAUCAAGGCGUUUAUAGAAGAGAUCCCUGUUUCACACCCAAAAACAAGGCGUAAUAGAAGAGAUCCCUGUUGCACACCAGCAACAAAUCAACCCCACGUCGGAGAUAACUAGAUUUCUUUUACGCAAAGACCUAUUUUCUCCAGGCUAACAAGCUUUAACGACCGGGCAGAAUCCUUCCAUACAUGGAAAUCAAGCUUUAAAAACGUCAUAGACGAAUUACAAGUUUCUGACUCGGAACAAAUAGACCUACUGAUAAAGUGGCUAGGGCCAGAGUCUGGUAAACAUGCCAUGAGUAUUAGGGCAUCAAAUGCCAACAACCCUACUAGAGGCUUACAGAGGUUAUGGCAAAGACUGGAUGAGCGAUAUGGUGGUGCUCCAGAAAUGUUGGAAGCUCUCUAUCACGAGUAAACUCGUCAAUUUUCCUACCUUGACGAACAAAGAUAACGCACGUCUUUAUGACUUGUCUGAUAUUCUAUCAGAAAUCGAAUAUCACAAGGAAAAUCCCAAGCUGGGAUGUUUGCUUGCUUAUUUCGAUUCUUCGUCCGGUAUAAAUCCUAUUGUGGAAAAACUACCAUACGGACUCCAAGAAAAGUGGAUAACAAGGGCUUCAAGAUACAAGUCCAAAUAUGAAGUUGCCUUUCCGCCAUUCACAGAAUUCUCUGCCUUCAUCAGGGAAAUGAGCAAAAUUAAGAACGAUCCUGGGUUCAUCUUUGGAUCAAAAGUAACACCAAAUACAAAAGACUCUACGCCAAGGUUCACACCUCAGACGUACUCUAAAGUCAACGUCCAUAAGACGGCUGUUGAACAGCAAACUGAAGACAGCAGUCAACAACAAAAUCUGUGUAUCCUACACAAGACAAAGCAUACCUUGAAUGAAUGCCGAGCAUUCCGAGCCAAACCAAUCGAGGAACGCAAGGAACUGUUAAGACAAAACAAUGUGUGCUACAAGUGUUGUGAGUCAACCACACACAGAAGUCGGGACUGCAACGCAAGUAUCAGUUGUAACGAGUGUGGAAGUGAACGACAUACCACAGCACUUCACAUCACUAGACCACAACAAUCUGAAAGUUCCCAGUUUAGCUCACCCAGACAAGCCUACGGCGGGGAGCAGACAGAGUCAGCUGAAACAAAGUUAACCUCUGUAAGUUCGAUCUGCACAGAGAUCUACAAAGAUCAUAAGAGCGAGAAAUCUUAUGCCAAGAUAUUACCUGUGGACGUGUACCACAAGGACAAGACAAACAAAAUUAUCAGGAUGUACGCCAUUAUUGACGACCAAAGCAACCGGUCUCUUGCCUCGCCUGAAUUCUUCAGUCUGUUUAACGUUCGGGAGAAACCUGAAAACUACUCUCUUACGACAUGCUCCGGCAGAGUAGCUACUUCCGGGAAAAGAGGAAAAGAUUUCGUCAUAAAAUCUGUACAUAGUGACGUACAAUUUGAUCUGCCUACAUUAAUUGAAUGUAAUAAUAUUCCCAAUCAUCGAGACGAAAUUCCUACUCCUGAAGUUGCAAUGCAUCAUCCUCAUCUGAAAGAACUCAGAGGAAGCAUUCCACCAAUAGAGGAACGUUGUCAAAUUCUUCUCCUUAUUGGAAGGGACCUUAUAGAGGCACACCACGUCCUUGAACAACGCCUAGGACCAUCCCGAACUCCAUUUGCCCAAAAGUUGAGACUUGGUUGGGUCAUAAUUGGAAAUACAUACAUUGACAAGCAAACUUCUCCUAUUCAAGUCAACACAAAGAUAACUAACGUUUCAAUCACGGAAUCAGAACAACGUCUUGCCUCAAGACCGGAAAUAGCCGUCAAGGACAAGAAUCCAAUUGUUGUUCAGUAUAACGACACAAACUUUCAUUCGAAUGCCAAGGUCGCUAAAUCGCAUUCAAUGCAAUCCCUUGAAUGUACAGGACCUAGUACCAAGCCUGGUAAACGCACAAAUUCAUCUAAAGGGACAUCACUCGCGUCACUAAAAGCAAAAUCUGUGACUUCUAUAGAAAAAUCUAUAGAUAAAGAAAGUUUCAAUCCGAAAUCAACAGAACCUAAAGUUCAUGGAGAGGAAAUCAAUAGCAUUCACAAACCUAUUCCGAAAGAAGGACCUCUUGCCAAUCUCAAUCUGCCAUUGCAUGAGCAACGUCUACUACGAGGAGGAAGCAGUAUUGUCAAAUCUGACUUGAAUAUAAGUGAAAAGGAACCAGUAGUCUUAUCUGGACAUCGUCACAGAGUAACACCUUUUCUUGGACAUUACUACGACAAAAUCAAACAUAGAGGACGCCACUCUACAGAUAGAGCGACUAGAUCUGCAGGAUUGGACGUUAUGACGAAACGCCUAAUUUCGUCUGAUACUCACAAAGAUGUGUCAUAUCGCCAAAUCGGAAGACAACCAACUACUAACUCUUGUUAUACUUCGAUCUAUCUUCGAUCGUCAUCGCCGUCUAACUACGUUGGAGAAAACAGUUCCCAUUAUCGAUACAGCAGUAAUAGAACAUUCUACAGAACACAACAAUGUCGUCCGAGACACCCUUCUUCUAAAGGACAAAAAACUGUGCCUACCCAGUUUCACGUGGAACGUACUUAUUAGGAACCUUUAUAGUGAAAAAUCGUUGAGAUCUGAUAUUUCUCACACGAAAUAGUGGACAUUUCACCUGUAUAUAUUCAAUUUAUAUUGGGAUUAAUUCAUUUGUGUAAAUCUUGUAUACAUAUUCGAAAAAUUUAUGGAAAAGUGAUAUCAGAUAGACAUCAGACGGGGAGUAUUCUGUUACACCGUUCCGUAAUUUAUAUAGUUCGUUUGAUUAUAUUCUUAAUCUAUUUAUGUGUUCCAGUCUAGGAGGAUUAUUCAUCUUUAACCUAUAAGAACAUUAAAACAUCGUAUCAUCGCUACCUUUCCCCUGCUCACACGGAUCUCAAACCGAACAUUGCAAGGUCAUACCAGUUCUGGAGAACUUUUCAAAGGACAAACGUCAUCUAGGACACAAUUCGUGGCUAACCACAGAGUGAGUUAACUUUACAACAUUGUUUUUGAAGCCUUCAAAUUACUCUAUACAUAUUUGAACAUUCUCUCCGUGAAACACUGGAAAUUUAACUGCUCUUGAAAGUACAACAUUUUCUCGGAUUCAACGGACUGUGCUAUCUAUUACCUUUGACAUUUCGUUUUAAUAACAUUAAUUGAACACAUUGUAAAAUUGUAUUUUAUUUGUUUUUCAGCUUUUUACCAUUUGUUAGAUUGGACUCUUGAAUUAAAGUAUCAGCACCUGAUAGUCUUUUCUGCUUGAGCCCAAUCGUCGGUUAUACUUAAUGGUCAGGCCAUACACGUAGCCUUUGGUUGAUUUGGAACCCCUCACUUCCCUUGUUGACGGAAACAUUUCGACCAAACAUUUGGAUAAAAAUUUUCUGUUUGUUUCUUAACUCGUGUCGGUCGUAUUGUAAAUUCCAUCGAAUAGCCUGGCUUAUAUCUUGAUACUAACUAACAUCAACAACGAAAUUUUCCAUGUCCAUUUUAAUGCAAGUCCAAUAAAUAUAUUAGUACAUAGCUUUGGAUCCAUCCCAUCAUUUUAUAAUAGACAAUUAAUGUGGAGAAUACGGCAUAAAAAAUGUCCAACUCUUACACUUUACAGCAACUAUAAAAUAUACAUGUCCAAAGUCAAGAAACGCUUAAAAAGUGCAUUUUACACUAAUUUUAUGCUUUUAGUCUAAAAAGUCCCAAAAAUUUUUCGCCUCGCUCCGCUCGCCAAUUUUUAGUCACUUCGCCCCCCUCCCUUUCCAAAAUCCUGGAUCCGCCCCUGGUUACUGGCUCUGAGCUAGCAGUCAGGAAUUAAGAGUACUCUCAGUUCUAUACUUUGUGUCAUUUUUGUUGUGCGAGAUGUAUAAAUACCCCACCAUGCAUGUCCGGUCUGCCCUUUGUAAGCCCUCUUUUUUAAAAACUUUUCGACGAUCCGAUGAGUUGAGCCCUAUUCCAAAUAUUGUUAUAGUUUGUUCUUGUGUUGUACUAUAAUACCACUGUCCAAGGGGAUGAUUGGCUAUUUCAAUCAUGGCUAACCCGCCCCAUUCUAUAUGUGCAUGACGUAAGUCAGGAUCCCUGUACUAGUGGUUGUUGCUUAUUGCUGUUUCGAAUUCUCAUACAAAAAAUAUUUGUUUUUUGCCCAUUGUUUUUUUAUAGUCCGUUGUUGUGUUGUUCCUUUACACUACGAUCUUAGGUGAGGGUAUAUAUGGUUGGCGCCUUCAAAUACUUUUAACAUCGCCAUUUGUAUGUGAUUGCGUAAAAGCUAUGUUCAAAACCACAAUGCCUAAGUCUUAUAAAUAAGCUAAAAUUUAAUCUAUCUGUUACUCUUUUUAGGUAUGGCAUCUGGUACAACUACAGACGUCAACUGUGGACCAUGAUUAUAUAACAGUAAUUCAGUGCCCGGUAAGGGGUGGUGUUUGUCGUGCGAGGAAGGCCUAUGUCAGUCGUGUGUUGACAGUCAUAAGGGUAGUAAGGCUUCCAGAAACCACAAAGUUAUUCCGAUUGAAAAAUGUCACCACGUGGUUUCCAUCGGACAUUUGAUGUCACAAACCUGUAAAACCCACAGCAAAGUUCUUGAUCUUUAUUGUCCUUCCCAUGAUGCUCCUGUAUGUUCUUUAUGUAUAGCCGAGGUCCACAGAGAAUGCAAGAGCAUCGUAUCAUUGGAUGAAGUCGCUAAAAAUGUUGUUUCAUCUUCUUCGUUUUGUAAUCUAGAACAAAAUGUCGGUAAUCUUCUCAAAAACUUAUCCCAGUUGAAGGCAGAACGGGAACGGAAUUCUAAACAGCUUCAAAAUGAUAAAACAACGAAAACUGCAUCCGUCAAAGAAAUAAGGAGAAAACUUAAU
RNAcentral lists this long non-coding RNA (9831 nucleotides) under Mytilus galloprovincialis (Mediterranean mussel). The record is from RNAcentral. Lineage: Eukaryota; Metazoa; Mollusca; Bivalvia; Mytilida; Mytilidae.